This 30-nucleotide non-coding RNA is filed under the name Homo sapiens (human). Lineage: Eukaryota; Metazoa; Chordata; Mammalia; Primates; Hominidae. The record is from RNAcentral.
UGAUGAAGGAUGAAGUGUUGACUGAUGCGU